GGUUUCCGUAGGUGAACCUGCGGAAGGAUCAUUGAAUAUGCAAACCACAACACGCACUCCCUAUUUGUGUACCGACGUUAGGUCAACACACGCAAGUGUGUGGCCUACUAACCUACACACCAUUGACCAACCAAUAAUCAAACCAAACUCUGAAGCUUUGGCUGCUGUUAAUCGGCAGUUUUAACAAAGAACAACUCUCAACAACGGAUAUCUUGGCUCUCGCAACGAUGAAGAACGCAGCGAAAUGCGAUACGUAGUGUGAAUUGCAGAAUUCCGUGAACCAUCGAAUCUUUGAACGCAUAUUGCGCUCGACCCCCCGGGGAAGAGCAUGUCUGCCUCAGCGUCGGUUUACACCCUCACCCCACUUACUUCACAGUGAGCGCUUGCUGCGUUGUAUGACCAGCAACUGGGAUGGAUCUGGCCCUCCCAAUUGAAGCAAUUCGAUUGGGUUGGCUGAAGCACAGAGGCUUAAACUGGGACCCGUACCGGGCUCAACUGGAUAGGUAGCAACACCUUCGGGUGCCUACACGAAGUUGUGUCUGAGGACCUGGUUAGGAGCCAAGCAGGAAACAUGGAAACAUGUACUCUGUAUUCGACCUGAGCUCAGGCAAGGCUACCCGCUGAACUUAAGCAUA
RNAcentral lists this ribosomal RNA (635 nucleotides) under Desmodesmus sp. LBA 35. Its description in RNAcentral is "eukaryotic LSU rRNA". The stretch from base 193 to 346 matches the Rfam family "5.8S ribosomal RNA". Lineage: Eukaryota; Viridiplantae; Chlorophyta; Chlorophyceae; Sphaeropleales; Scenedesmaceae. The record is from RNAcentral.